Molecule: non-coding RNA, 1415 nt
Organism: Benincasa hispida (wax gourd)
Lineage: Eukaryota; Viridiplantae; Streptophyta; Magnoliopsida; Cucurbitales; Cucurbitaceae
Source: RefSeq, a predicted model, not a curated record
CAUUGAAACGACGUUGGUAAUAAUCAACUUUUUGAAACGAGAACCGCCCUCGUCUUGUCCAAAGAGAAUCGGAGGCUCCAACAAAUGCCUGUGGCAAUUGCAAUUGCAGCAGCGCCAAAUCUUCGUCACUUCAAGAAACUGGGCGCGAUUAUCAAUACUCGAGAGAAGAAAUUCAAUACUCGAUUAUCUUCCUCACUGGGCGCGGUUCCUCGAGAGAAGAAAGAUAUGGUUGCAACAGCCAGUAGCAGUAGCGGAGAUUCAGGCGCAUACACGACGAUUAAAGAGAUUGUAAGAUUUGAAAGAGAAAUCAAGAAGAGCAAGUUCAUCGCAAUUGCUGGUCCUGUCUCUAAUGAGCAAUCUGCCUUCUCUUUUCUCUCCCAGGUGCGGGAUCCGCGAGCUACUCACAAUUGCUGGGCGUAUCAGGUUGGAGAUCAAUACAGGUCUAAUGAUGAUGGCGAGCCAUCUGGUACAGCUGGUAAACCAAUUCAUUCUGCAAUUGUUUCUUCAGGUAUUGACAGAGUCAUGGUGGUUGUGAUCAGGCAUUUUGGAGGUAUCAAACUUGGCACUGGGGGACUAGUCAGGGCUUAUGGAGGAGUAGCUUCUGAAUGCCUGAAGAGUGCCCAAACUUGUGUUGUGAAAUCUAAGGUUCCAAUGGGUGUGGAGGUACCAUUCGAUCUUUUAGGGGUCUUGUACCACCAGUUACAAUCUUUUCAAGUUGAGGACAUUAAACAGGAUUAUGACAGUGGUAAAGAUGGUAUUACGAUGGUGACAUUCAAGGUUGAUUUCGAUUGUGUUGAGAAGUUGGAGGAUGCUAUCAAAUCUAACUGUAGCCGUGAUUUAGUCUUUUACAAGCGAUAAAUUAUACAGCUUAGUACGUCUACAUAAAUGCAGAGAGGGACAGAGGGGAGAUGCACAUCAAUAUAACGAUGAAAUCAAGUGCGCAUCCAAUAAAUGGUGGGCGGUAUGAGAAGCAAGCGGCAGUACAUUCUUAUUUAAUUGAUGAUGACAACUAUCAAGGAACCUUUGUCAAUUUAAGGAGUUGUUUCAUUUGACUAUGGUUUCAUGGGAAGCAAUAAUUGAAAUGGGAUUAUGGUGGAAGUCGUGGUGCUACCUAAAGGUAUAUUAAUUUUGUUUUGGUGGAAGUCGUGGUGCCUACCUAAAGGUAUAUUAAUUUUGUUUCUUUCAACCUUCAUCUGGUUAUAAUAGCAUCCACUGCUCAGCGGAAGUUCACAUCAACCAUCAGACCCAGAACUGCAAACAGUCCAAAAUAUAGCAUUACCUAUAGGCUAGUGGAAGCCAUUCUAUGUUUAAAUGGGAGUCUUGUGUUGAAGAAGAUGAGAUUUUGAUGGAAACCAUUUUAUGUUUGAAUAGAAGGACAAGGAUCUUGGGUGUAUUUACCAAUCAUUAUACUUGUG